ACGUAGGGGGCAAGCGUUAUCCGGAAUUAUUGGGCGUAAAGAGUGCGUAGGUGGUUUUUUAAGCGUGAGGUGAAAGGCAAUAGCUUAACUAUUGUAAGCCUUGCGAACUGGAAGACUUGAGUGCAGAAGAGGAAAGUGGAAUUCCUAGUAUAGGAGUGAAAUGCGUAGAUAUUAGGAGGAACACCAGUGGCGAAGGCGACUAACUGGACUGUAGCUGACACUGAAGCACGAAAACGUGUGGAGCAGACAG
This 250-nucleotide ribosomal RNA is filed under the name uncultured prokaryote. RNAcentral describes it as "partial 16S rRNA". It matches the Rfam family "Bacterial small subunit ribosomal RNA", at positions 525 to 775 of the family's 1533-position model. The record is from RNAcentral.